This 395-nucleotide ribosomal RNA is filed under the name uncultured bacterium. RNAcentral describes it as "partial 16S ribosomal RNA". It matches the Rfam family "Bacterial small subunit ribosomal RNA", at positions 523 to 918 of the family's 1533-position model. The record is from RNAcentral.
CUACGUAGGGUGCAAGCGUUAAUCGGAAUUACUGGGCGUAAAGCGUGCGCAGGCGGUUUUGUAAGACAGAGGUGAAAUCCCCGGGCUCAACCUGGGAACUGCCUUUGUGGCGGCAAGGCUAGAGUACGGCAGAGGGGGAUGGAAUUCCGCGUGUAGCAGUGAAAUGCGUAGAUAUGCGGAGGAACACCGAUGGCGAAGGCAAUCCCCUGGGCCUGUACUGACGCUCAUGCACGAAAGCGUGGGGAGCAAACAGGAUUAGAUACCCUGGUAGCCCACGCCCUAAACGAUGUCAACUGGUUGUUGGGUCUUCAUUGACUCAGUAACGAAGCUAACGCGUGAAGUUGACCGCCUGGGGAGUACGGCCGCAAGGUUGAAACUCAAAUGAAUUGACGGGG